RNAcentral lists this ribosomal RNA (721 nucleotides) under uncultured bacterium. RNAcentral's name for it is "bacterial SSU rRNA". It matches the Rfam family "Bacterial small subunit ribosomal RNA", at positions 789 to 1515 of the family's 1533-position model. The record is from RNAcentral.
GGUAGUCCACGCCCUAAACGAUGUCAACUAGCUGUUGGGGCCUUCGGGCCUUGGUAGCGCAGCUAACGCGUGAAGUUGACCGCCUGGGGAGUACGGUCGCAAGAUUAAAACUCAAAGGAAUUGACGGGGACCCGCACAAGCGGUGGAUGAUGUGGAUUAAUUCGAUGCAACGCGAAAAACCUUACCUACCCUUGACAUGUCUGGAAUCCCAAAGAGAUUAGGGAGUGCUCGCAAGAGAACCGGAACACAGGUGCUGCAUGGCUGUCGUCAGCUCGUGUCGUGAGAUGUUGGGUUAAGUCCCGCAACGAGCGCAACCCUUGUCAUUAGUUGCUACGAAAGGGCACUCUAAUGAGACUGCCGGUGACAAACCGGAGGAAGGUGGGGAUGACGUCAAGUCCUCAUGGCCCUUAUGGGUAGGGCUUCACACGUCAUACAAUGGUCGGGACAGAGGGUCGCCAACCCGCGAGGGGGAGCCAAUCCCAGAAACCCGAUCGUAAUCCGGAUCGUAGUCUGCAACUCGACUACGUGAAGUCGGAAUCGCUAGUAAUCGCGGAUCAGAAUGUCGCGGUGAAUACGUUCCCGGGUCUUGUACACACCGCCCGUCACACCAUGGGAGUGGGUUCCACCAGAAGUAGUUAGCCUAACCGCAAGGAGGGCGAUUACCACGGUGGGGUUCAUGACUGGGGUGAAGUCGUAACAAGGUAGCCGUAUCGGAAGGUGC